Molecule: RNA transcript, 1494 nt
Organism: Ixodes scapularis (black-legged tick)
Lineage: Eukaryota; Metazoa; Arthropoda; Arachnida; Ixodida; Ixodidae
Exons: 4
Source: RefSeq, a predicted model, not a curated record
UUUCACUUGUUGGCGACAAUUUGACGCUUGUGAGCUGCUCGACUGAAUGAACUGCAAUACGGAGCUGUGUUGUGCUUCGAGGACCAGCCUGAUCUUAUUCGCAAGUUUCCCCGGAACCCCGUGUUGUGUCCGGCAACUUUCAUCUUCGCGUGUGUGCUUAGCAGGCGCUUUCAAACAUCGGUUGGCCGAGACCGUACCACUGCCUGCGACGCUCGAGUUCAUUUUCGGUUUUCUCGCUGAUCUUGCAUUCCACGACUCCCUUCUCAUAAUCCGCGCACUCAGAAAGGUUCUACAGUUUCGCGGUUGUGUUCUUUGUGACCCUUCCUUUUUUCAGAGGUUGCUUUAUGGUUGCAGUUACCUUUCCACUUACUUGAGCGGCGGGGUCCGUAUCUGCACCUCUGAAUGAAAAGUCUCGUCUAAAAGCUGGUUCCGCAAACGCGAUUUAUCUACUUAAGUUUUUGUGUAUAUUCUUGAGGUGUCUGUUGAGUGUGUUUCAGUAUGUCUAGCCCUUACCUUUCCAUUUUGAAUCCUUGGAUAACGCUUGAAAUGGGAUUGCCCGUUGUUGGCAUUACACGUAAAUUGUUCACAUUAAAACCAGCUUGCUUGGAAUAUUUUGUUGUCUAAUGAAGAAAAUUAUCUUCACUGUGUUCAGUAGAAACAAAAACAAAAAAAGAAACGCCCUUGUGCCGUUCUUUCUGUUACCUUUUAAACAAAUUUAUUAUAUGAGAUUUUGUCACACACACCAAGCAUUUCUGCUCAAGUUUACGCUGGUUUUAGGUUGGACACCCACGAGCCAGUGUUUAUAUGUCAUAGUCUACACAAUGAUUGUGGUUCUUAUGCCAACGUUUCAACUUGUUGAGUACAAAGCGAGCGUGUUUAUCACAAUAUCCACCAUAAGGAAGGUAACAAGGUUGCCUUCCUUAUGAUGAAAUUCAACUUGCUUUGCGAUUUUGUAAUAAUUUAAAAAAUAAGGCGCCUUAUGCACUUGCCAUGGCAAGUGCAUAAGGCACCUUAUUUUUAAAAUUAUAGAUCUGUGGCUGCUGUGCACAUACAUGCUUAACACCUAUUAUUUGAAAUCUCAUAUUAGCAACACGGUAUUAAUGUUGACACGAGAGGGCGCCCAUUGAGACGUUGCUCAUUGAAGUCUCGGUCUGAGCCUUAUUCAGCUAUAAAUUGCUAUAAAUUAGGCAUUAUUUCGUUUCAGUAUAAAAAAUGCGAUAAUGGAAUGUUUAAAAUUUUUUCGUUUUCCUCAGAACGUAAAAGGUCAUUCAUUAUGUAGAGGUUCCAUUUGCUGGAAAAACUCCCGGACAGUAGACUGAAGUUGUGAAGCCUCAAGGAACCCAGCGCGUGCCUUCCCCGGACAAGGCGAUGGUGAAGCGGGAGCCUCCCGACUGGGGCAAGCCCGAGCUGCUCCUACUGCCGCUUUUCCUGCAACGACCGCCUGGAGCACACCCUGCACCACUCGCAACACCUCAGGGAGAGGCCUUUCAGGUG